CUAUUCAACACUUUUGUAUCCGAAAGGUAUACAUUUCGUAUUUUCAUAUAGUACAGUGGGGAGGGGGCUAACAGCAAGCUGCAAGUAAAUUGCUUUUAAAUUUAUGAACAACACUUGCAAUUAAGAAGGCCCGCUCUGAUGAUUCGACUUCUUUAAAAGGCCACCAUGAAUCUGCUCUUCUCCUCCGCGGGCAGCUGUCUUCAAAUGUUCCACUAGAAGUAUUUUCACACAGCAAUUUUCAGACUAGCACAAGUGCCGGGCGGCAGGAGCUGGAGCAGCAGCAGCCGCAUCAGGAGAUGAAAAAACGAAAACAAAAUAUUAUGUAAUUUUACAUUCAAGUGAGCGGAAAAUAUAAAUAAGCAGCAGGUGCUCAUUUCCUGUUCCGCAGCAAACAUGGUACAGUCAGCAUACAAGCACUCGCACACCAGCUGCCCGCCAUGUCCUGGCCCAAAGGACAUGGUCGUGCAGCGGGGAGGGGCGACGCAUGCACGUGAACUAUGGCCAAAACACUCGGACACUGAGCAGAAACUCGUCACUUGGAUCAUUUUGCUUGGCAUUCCAGAUUUGAGCCUUCUACUCUAGAAUGCAUGAAGUGUGUAACUCGUU
Molecule: non-coding RNA, 606 nt
Organism: Drosophila melanogaster (fruit fly)
Lineage: Eukaryota; Metazoa; Arthropoda; Insecta; Diptera; Drosophilidae
Source: Ensembl